AUGAAGUUGAUGUUUGUAAUAUUUAUAUGUAAAUCUAAUAAAGUAAAUAUUUUAAAAAAAAUUCUUCUCAAAAUCCAUAUAUUUUUUCCCGGGUUUCCCCGAUAUAUCUGAUAUCUCUCUUUUCAAAGGACCGAUAGAUACACCGAUACCGAUAUUUUAAUCAUUGACUGAAGCUGCUACUACACUAGCUGAACCAAUAAAAACCUGCUACUGCAUUUAUUGGAAGUGUAGUAGCAGCAAUAUUCCAGCAAAUGUAGUAGCAGCUAAAACAAGGGGCAAUUACAUAGAAGUCCAUUUGGAGACAUUUUCUCCCAUAUAAGUCUACCUAAACAUUUUUACCCAUAUAAGUCCACCCAAGCCUAAAUAGAGUCUUAUAUUAAGUAUUAAAGUUCAACAAAAUUACAGACUGCCAUCCAACCAAAAAAUUAGAUUUUUUCUCUUAUAUUUACAAAAAUGCUACUAAUAUAAAAAGUCAACAACCAUAAAUGGUCUCCGACUGACCUCCGGCGAAAUUUCCAACCGACCUCCGCCGAACUUUCCGACCGAACUCCGGCGAACAUUCCGGCCGACCAUCUAUGAGGAUUCUAGCGACCACAAAAGCUACUACCAGUGACAACAAAAGCUACUACCGCUGACAAAGAAAGCUACUACCACUAACAAAGAAAGCUACUACUACUGACAACAAAAGAUACUACUGAUAGCAAAAAAAACUACUGUCACCAGCAAAGAAAUCUACUACUGAUAGCAACAAAAGCUACUACCGCCAGCAAAGAAAGCUACUACUAUUGACAACAAAAUAUACUACCGAUAGCAAAAAAGGCUACUGUCACUAGCAAAGAAAGCUACUACCGAUAGCAACAAAAGCUACUACGACCAACAAAGAAAGCUACUACCACUGACAGGUCUCUGGCUGACUUCAGGUAAAGUUUCUGACCGACCUCCGACAAUGUAACUGAAGAUUGCAAAAGAUACUGUCACUAGCAACAAAGGCUACUACCAUCGGCUAUAAAAACUACUAUUAUCGGCUAUAAAAGCUACUAUGGUGAGAUCUUCGACGACCUCCGACGAGAUCACAAAAAACUAUCGCCAGUAACAAAAAUACUACCGAACAUAACAAAAUCUACUACCACCAGCUACAAAAGCUACGAUACUAAGAUUCCGGUGACCUCCGGCGAGGUCACAAAAGAUACUACCAAGCAUAUGAAAAACUACUAUCAACAAAGAUAUUACCGCCGUAAACAAAAGCUACUACAGUCACCAGCAAAAGAUAUUACCGCCAGCAACAAAAGAUACUACUGAUGUGAACAAAAGCUNNNNNNNNNNNNNNNNNNNNCAACAAAAGCUACUACCGUCACCUACAAAAGCUACUACCGCCACCAAUCGAAUCUACUACCUUCAACAACAAAAUCUACUAUAUCCAACAACAAAAGCUGCUAUGGUGAGAUUUUCGACGACCUUCAGAAAGGUCACAUAUAAUGUCGCUAACAACAAAAGUUACUACUAAGCAGAACAAAAACUACUAUCCGGCAUAACAAAAGAUACUACCAAGCAUAAUAAAAGCUACUGUCACCAGCAACAAAAGCUACUACCAAGCAAAACACAUGAUAUUACCAAGCACAACAAAACCUACUACCAAACAGAAGAAAAGUUACUGCAAUCAAGAGAAUAUAACAAAUUCAAUGGUGCAAAAAAUAUGAAGCCUUCUACAAUAAUAUAAUUAUGUACAAAAGCUGCUACCACUGACUACAAAAACUACUACAACCAACAACAAAAGCUACUGCCGUUAGUAACAAAAGCUACUACCGCUGACAAGAAAAGCUACUACCACCAAUUACAAAAGCUACUACCACCGAUUACAAAAGCUACUACCACCAACUACAAAAGCUAAUACCACCGACUACAAAAGCUACUACAGCCAACAACAAAAGCUACUACCGCCAGCAAUAAAAGCUACUAUCCCUAGCUACAAAAGCUACUACCACCGACUACGAAAGCUACUACAGUCAACAACAAAAGCUACUACAGCCAAUAACAAAAGCUACUACCGUCAGCAAAAAAAGCUACUAACCUUAGCUACAAAAGCUACUACCACCGACUACAAAAGCUACUACAGCCAACAACAAAAACCACUACUGCCAGUAACAAAAGCUACUACUGCCAACAACAAAAUCUAUUAUCCCUACCUACAAAAGCUGCUACCACCGACUACAAAAGCUACUACUGGAGGUUGAGAAAAUUAUUUUUUAUAGACUUGCAUGAUUGCGGAAAUGUAGAGGAUACAACUAAAAUAAAAAUGCUAAUGCAAUCGAGUGAAUAAAACAUAUUCAAUGAUACAAAAAGACGUUUUCAACAAUGAUAAAAUUAUUUACAAAACUACUUCCAUAGUUGUAAAAAGUUGCUACUA
This 2404-nucleotide long non-coding RNA is filed under the name Fragaria vesca (wild strawberry). RNAcentral's name for it is "long non-coding RNA (FVES_LNC001219)". The record is from RNAcentral. Lineage: Eukaryota; Viridiplantae; Streptophyta; Magnoliopsida; Rosales; Rosaceae.